GGAAAUAAAACUGUUCCUGAUAAACAAUGGGAAUGUGUCUCAGGAUCAGGUCGAGGAUAAUGACCAGGAGAUCCGCCGCUGCCAUGGCCCCCAGACGGUGGUGUGCGUAUGGAAUGAGCUGCCAGAGGAAGUGGUGGAGGCUGGUACAACUAUAGCAUGUAAAAGGCAUCUGGAUCCUGACAGACCUGCCGAGCUUUUCCAGCAAUUUCUGUAUUUCUUUUAAAAACUGCAUUCAUUUUAACACAAGUAUUCUGAAUAAAUUAGACAUUUUUAUUUUUUAAUGAAGCAGGAACAUAAAAACAUAUCUUCAAAUCGACCAAGACCAUUUUCUGCUAAGGGUAUGGCUCUGUGUAUGACAGCAGCAAUGAUGCACCGACAUGGAACAGGGAAUGUGAUGGAGACAUCGUUUGGACAAUGUACAAGGUUCUGGACAAAGUUCUUUCAAGUUACAAUUGCAGAGAGAUUGUGUGUGUGUGUGUGUGUGUGUGUGUGUGUGUGUGUGUGUGUGUGUGUGUGUGUGUGUGUGUGUGUGUGUGUUAUAGAAAGGGAAAUAUUGAUUAUAUAUUUGCAAUACAAAAAUAGUUUGCCAUUCAUCUUUCCACCAUAGUUGGAGUAACAUUGCUCUGGAUCAUAAACGUGCUAUUUGAGCAGAUUAAAGAAACUAGCCUGACUUGUUCCUAAAACUGACCCUGACCCAGUCUGAAACCGGUAUCAUCGGCCACAUCACCGACCUGGUUACAUUUAACGUUUGUUGUGAGCAGUGGAGGAGUGGGACUAGAAAGGAAACAGUGACCCAAAAAGCCGGGUAACUCUAGACCGGUGAGCCAGAUGUCAGUGGUGGGUAAGUUGUUGGAAGGGAUUCUGAGGGAUAGGAUUUACAUACAUUUGGGAAGGUGAGGGCUGAUCGGGGUAGACAACAUAGCUUUCUGCAUGGGAAAUCAUGUCUCAUUAAUUUGGUUGCGAUUAUUGAAGAGAUGACAAAGAUUGAUGAGGGCAGUUUGGUUGACAUUGUCUAUGUGGACUUCAGCAAGGUGUUCAUUUAAAUAACAAAGAACAAAGAAAAUUUCCAGCCCAGGAACAGGCCCUUCACCCUCCAAGCCUGAGCCGAUCCAAAUGUACUGUUUACAUCUGUCGGUCACUUCCUAACCAUCUGUAUCCCUCUGCUCCCCACCUACUCCUCUGCUCCCCAGCUACUCCUCUGCUCCCCACCUACUCAUGCAUCUGUCUAGACGCACCUUAAAUGAAUCUGUCGUGCCUGCCUCUACCACCUCUGCUAGCAAACCGUCCCAAACGCCCACCACCCUCUGUGUAAAGUACUUACUGUGUGUAUCCCCCUUAAACUGUCUACCUCUCACCCUGAAAGCACGACCUCUCGUUAUUGAAUCCUUCAUCCUGGGAAAAAGCUUGUCUCUGUCCACCCGAUCUAUAACCUUCAUGAUUUUGCAAACCUCAAACAGGUUCCCCCCCCCCCAUCUUCUUUUUUCUAGUGAAAAUAAACCUAACCUACUCAGCCUCUCUUCAUAGCUAAUAUUUCAUUCUGAUUGGUAGAGAGAUUAAUAAGUUUCAGUCACAUGGGAUACAGAGGAAGCUCGUCACAAUUGGCUUGAAGGAAGAGGGGUAUUUUUUAAAACUGGAGGCUUGUGAGCAGCAGUGUGCUGUAAGGAUCAGGACUGAGUUCACAACAUUUCAUCAUUUAUGUAAAGGAUUUAGAUGUGAAUAUCGGAGCCAUAGUUAGUAAGUUUACUGAUUACAUCAGAAAGGUGGUGUAGUAGAUUAUCUCAGAGUACAACAAGACCACAAUUGGAUGGUACAAAGGGGCAAGGAGUGACAGACGAAGUUUAAUUUAGAUAAAGACGACGUUUUGUAUGUUGUGAACGCAAAUCAGGGCAGAAGUCAUACAUUUAUGGUCAGGUCCUGGGGAGUGUUGAGAAACAAACGGACAUAGGGCUGCAGGUACAUUGUUCCUUGAAAGUGGAGUCUAAUGCAGACAGUGCGGUGCAGAACACAUUUGGCACAUUUGCCUUAAUCAGUCAGAGCAUUGAAUAUAGGAGUUGUGGUGGCAUGUUAUAUCUGUACAGGAUGUUGGUGAGGCCACUUUAAGAAUACUACAUACAACUCGGUUGUCUGCAGAAAUGACUUACACGGAUGUCCCAGGACUGGAGGUUUGAACUUUAGGGAGAGGUUGAUUAGGUUGAGAUGUUUCCCCCUGGAGUGUCAGAGGUUGAGGGGUCACACUAUAGAGGUUUAUAAAACCAGCAGGGGCAUGGAUAUUCUGAACAGCCACGCUCUGCUCCCCAGGGUAGGGGAGUCCAGAACAGGAGAGUAUAGGUUGGAGGGGAGAGGGGGAAUGAUUUAGAAGGGACUGAAGAUAAAUGUUUCACACACAGAGUGGUGUGUGUUCAGAAAUUGCUGUCAGAGGAAGUGGUGAAGGAGGUUACAAUCGCACAUUUAAAAAGUAUCUGAAAGACGAGGGAUAUCGGCCAAAUGCUGGCAAAUGGAACUGGAUCAGAUUUGAUAUCUAAUCGGAGUGAACAGGUUGGACUUACGGGUCUGUUCCCAUUCUGCAUGACGCUUUGAUUUUAUCAGAGGAACGACAAAUAAUUCUGAAUGGACCUUUCAAGUGAGAAUUCUCUUCACUGGAAGUUUAUCGUGCCUCUAUGUUCACAUUGAUUGAUAGCUGCAUUAGGUAAAUAUUUGACAGAGAACUGAGUCAUGGAUAAUGGGAUACAGACACGAAAGUGGGAUUGAGACCCCAACCUGAUCAGCUACAAUCUUAAUGUCUGGUGGAGAAUUUUCAAAGUAUCUAAUGACUCACUCCUGUCCCUCAAUCCCGUGUUCCUGUGUUCCAUUCAGCCCAUUAAACCUGUUAGGCAGGAGCAUUUAGAGGCUACUUACUUCUAUAACCUGGUGCACAGAAACAGAGGAGAUUAUUCGGCCCUUCAAGAUUGUCCCACACACUUUGAUGUGAUUUGAGAAAUGUAAUUGUAAAACCCGGGCUGGGUAUGAAAGAGGCCCCUCAUCUCUCUUCACAGAGCUUCCCCUCUCUGAAACUUGUGCUCCAUUUGUUGGUCAUGUUGUCGAUCAAAAUUCACUAUGAAUACAGCCCCCAUACCUCACCCAGCGAUGGCUCACAAAAUCCUCUGGUUUCCCUGACUGCAACAUUCAAUAACAGAACAUUCAUGAAAAUAACACACACUAACUUUCCAAUAGCAGAAUGUGAGAACAUCAGACACAGGGGCAGGUCGUUCACUCCCCAAGCCAGCCUUGCCCUUCACUAAGAUUGUGGCUGAUCUGUUCUCGGUCUGAAAUCCUCUUUCAUACCCAAUUCCUCAUCGCCCUCACCUCUCGGACUGGUCAAUAUCCAUCGACCUCCUCUACAAAUACAUUCAGUCAUCUGGCUCCCCGAACACACUUGAGAAGAGAAAUUCUGACAUUCAAUGCCACCUGUUUGGAGAAAACCCUUGCUGCUCCUAUACCAUGGCCUAUUGAUAUGAACAAAAGAGGUUGAAUCAAGGGGUCAGGUGAAAAUGACUGGCCCUGAUAUCAAGGCUUCUGUUGACAUCAAGGAGCUUAACAAAUCUGAAGUUAAUGGGAAUCAGAGUGAACUCUCCAGUGUUUGGAGUCAAACAUGACACAAAGGAAGAUGUUCAUCAUCUCAUUCCUGAAUCAGCUCUGUGGGAGAUCCUCAGGGAAGCUUCCUCUUCACAAACUUCUACAGCUGCUUCAUCAAUGUCUCCCCACCCCCACCCUCCCCACCAUAAGAUCUGAAGUGGGGUUGGUCACUGAAGAUUGCACUAUGUUCAAAACAUUUUGUCCUCCGUCAGCUCCUGAACUGGUCUGUGUCCAUGUGCAGGAAGACCAGACUCUAUUGAGGCUUAUGCUGUUAAAGUGUCAGUAACAUUCAUGUAACAGCACUGUCUGACACUGCACAUUGCCACAGUAAAACAAGAGGUCAUUCCACACCUCACUCUGGUUUCACAGGAAUAUGAGGAAAUCAUUCAGCCCAUUGACAUGAUUGGAGAAGAACAGGGACAGCCCAUUCAGUGCCUCCAGCCUAUUACUCAGGAAGAGAAGGAUUCCAGUGUGAUGGGCCAGACCAGAGCCCUUUGAAAAUAUUUGUAGGCGGUAGCCUAGAUUCUUACAUUUUGUUAUUUUAAAGGAAAUGUAAAGUGUCUGUUUCAGAUGCAAUGUGACAGGUCAAACAACUCGGUGGUGAGCAAAACACCAUUUAUUUAAACACGAAAGAUGAAAUAAAACCAAAGAAAGAGAAAUUUAGAAUAACAUAAUUCUAUUGGACAUCUUAACAGAAUAAUAGAACUAGGAGCUAUUACUAAUGAACUAGUCCAACAUAGGAAAUUCCAAUAACCACAAAAGGAAAAUGCAAGAAUAGAAAACAGCAUCUAGAGAAAAUUCAGAGAGAGUAGCAGCCAGGAGACAUUCUGUGAAACUUCCAACUCUGUGGAGACCCCUAUAAUUUUUGAUGUUACUGAGAAACAAAACCCAGUGAUCCUAAUCUGUGAGAGCUGGCCACACCCAUUCACUGCAUUAAAAUAAACCUAAGGCCUCCCUCGCUGUUUACUCAAGUGGUCUUAACUAGCCAGCUUCGUAACGAUCGUUCAAUAUCUCUCUUAAAAGAAACCAGGAUAAAAAAGCCUCUUAAACCUGCAGCAUCAUCACACUUGUCAACACAUCGAGCUGUCAUACAGGAACCAGGGGCAACAUAAUCAGGCCCUUCGCCCUGCCCAAUCGGACAAGGAAGAAGACAGUCAGUCCCUUGAGUCACUUACACAGGAUCAGGAGGAGGCCAUUCCCACCUCAAUGCACUUACACAGGGGCAGAAUGAGGUAAUUGAUGCUGAUUCCUGAUGAAUGAGUUAUGCCCAAAACGUCGGUUCUCCUGCUUCUCGGAUGCUGCCUGACCUGCUGUACGUUUCCAACAAUCGACUCUCUACUCUGAUCUCCAGUAUCGGCAGUCUGAGGUGUCUCCUAAUUGAUGCUCCAACAUGAUAAACAAUUGAAGCAGAGGCUGCAUAGACAGACUGCUCCACGUUGUUCCUCAUGGCUCUGUUGCUCAUGAUACACAUGUGGGACUUUAAUUUGGUUUUCUCGCGGUGAGGAGGGAAGCCAUAUGUGUGAAGUCUCAAGAAGGCACCUUCCAUCUCCGAGAAGCCAGCCUGGUGUUCUCUGUGUAGAGCGGAAGCUGAUGGGAAUGGCUACCUGUUUCAGACGGAAGGUAUUGUGGCUGCUGUUGGGGAUUGUGAGUAACCUGACGUUCUGUACGGGUUCACACGCCGACUGCACAAUAACGUGGGGAGAGUUAAUUUAGGCAUAUAAACUAUUAGGAAAUACACGUUGGACUGAUGGAUGGACUCUCUAAGUUCAAAUAUUGCUGAUCUUGUUCAUGUUGAUCUUGUCUCGUGCACGUCCUGUUCAGUUUAACCUGUAUGGGUUACUCUGUCCAAGUUUAUUUCCACCGUAUGAUCUGUCUGGCCAUGUUUACUAUAAUCUGCCUCCACUGCUCAUAAAUAAAGUGUUUCCCUGUACUGAG
Long non-coding RNA from Hemiscyllium ocellatum (epaulette shark), 5547 nucleotides. RefSeq lists it as uncharacterized. NCBI's taxonomy places the organism in Eukaryota, Metazoa, Chordata, Chondrichthyes, Orectolobiformes, Hemiscylliidae. The record is from RefSeq and is a predicted model, not a curated record. The transcript has 2 exons.